GAUGAACGCUGGCGGCGUGCCUAAUACAUGCAAGUCGAGCGAACAGACGAGGAGCUUGCUCCUCUGACGUUAGCGGCGGACGGGUGAGUAACACGUGGAUAACCUACCUAUAAGACUGGGAUAACUGCGGGAAACCGGAGCUAAUACCGGAUAAUAUAUUGAACCGCAUGGUUCAGUAGUGAAAGACGGUUUUGCUGUCACUUAUAGAUGGAUCCGCGCCGCAUUAGCUAGUUGGUAAGGUAACGGCUUACCAAGGCAACGAUGCGUAGCCGACCUGAGAGGGUGAUCGGCCACACUGGAACUGAGACACGGUCCAGACUCCUACGGGAGGCAGCAGUAGGGAAUCUUCCGCAAUGGGCGAAAGCCUGACGGAGCAACGCCGCGUGAGUGAUGAAGGUCUUCGGAUCGUAAAACUCUGUUAUUAGGGAAGAACAAAUGUGUAAGUAACUAUGCACGUCUUGACGGUACCUAAUCAGAAAGCCACGGCUAACUACGUG
This 497-nucleotide ribosomal RNA is filed under the name uncultured bacterium. RNAcentral's name for it is "partial 16S ribosomal RNA". It matches the Rfam family "Bacterial small subunit ribosomal RNA", at positions 28 to 507 of the family's 1533-position model. The record is from RNAcentral.